GACGAACGCUGGCGGCGUGCUUAACACAUGCAAGUCGAACGGAAAGGCCCUGCUUUUGUGGGGUGCUCGAGUGGCGAACGGGUGAGUAACACGUGAGUAACCUGCCCUUGACUUUGGGAUAACUUCAGGAAACUGGGGCUAAUACCGGAUAGGAGCUCCUGCUGCAUGGUGGGGGUUGGAAAGUUUCGGCGGUUGGGGAUGGACUCGCGGCUUAUCAGCUUGUUGGUUGGGUAGUGGCUUACCAAGGCUUUGGCGGGUAGCCGGCCUGAGAGGGUGACCGGCCACAUUGGGACUGAGAUACGGCCCAGACUCCUACGGGAGGCAGCAGUGGGGAAUAUUGCACAAUGGGCGGAAGCCUGAUGCAGCAACGCCGCGUGCGGGAUGACGGCCUUCGGGUUGUAAACCGCUUUCGCCUGUGACGAAGCGUGAGUGACGGUAAUGGGUAAAGAAGCACCGGCUAACUACGUG
RNAcentral lists this ribosomal RNA (468 nucleotides) under uncultured bacterium. Its description in RNAcentral is "partial 16S ribosomal RNA". It matches the Rfam family "Bacterial small subunit ribosomal RNA", at positions 28 to 507 of the family's 1533-position model. The record is from RNAcentral.